RNAcentral lists this transfer RNA (72 nucleotides) under Camelus bactrianus (Bactrian camel). It matches the Rfam family "tRNA". From Rfam's summary of the family: Transfer RNA (tRNA) molecules are approximately 80 nucleotides in length. Their secondary structure includes four short double-helical elements and three loops (D, anti-codon, and T loops). The record is from Rfam by way of RNAcentral. RNAcentral also lists the same sequence under 2 other names. Lineage: Eukaryota; Metazoa; Chordata; Mammalia; Artiodactyla; Camelidae.
GAGGGUAUAGCUCAGUGGCAGAGUAUGUGCUUAGCAUGCACGAAAUUCUGGGUUCAAUCCCCAGCACCUCCA